GCUUACGACCAUACCACCCUGAAAACGCCUGAUCUUGUCUGAUCUUGGAUGCAAACUAGAGUUGGGUCUGGUCAAUACUUAGAUGGGAGACUGCCUGGGAAUACCAGGUGCUGUAAGCU
This 119-nucleotide ribosomal RNA is filed under the name Sphaeramia orbicularis (orbiculate cardinalfish). The record is from RNAcentral. Lineage: Eukaryota; Metazoa; Chordata; Actinopteri; Kurtiformes; Apogonidae.